Gasterosteus aculeatus aculeatus (three-spined stickleback) is the source of this 250-nucleotide long non-coding RNA. The record is from Ensembl. NCBI's taxonomy places the organism in Eukaryota, Metazoa, Chordata, Actinopteri, Perciformes, Gasterosteidae.
GUGAGGCUUUGCAACAAGAUCUUAAUAAAGCUGCUGCGGACGGCUCGUUGUGAUGCACAGGAAGAUAACUCGAGUUUAAGCCGGAGAAACUGAGGUCAUUCCGAGCGGAAGGGCGAGAGACGAUCUCCUCAGUUCUAACACCGCUGGAUGAGAGAUGAGCCGCGAUCGUCCCCGGCUGGGACGAUCUUCCUGGACGGCGCGACGUUUUGGACCCAUCUGGCCCCGAGCCCGUCCCCUGCCAGACGUCCCG